RNAcentral lists this ribosomal RNA (468 nucleotides) under uncultured bacterium. Its description in RNAcentral is "partial 16S ribosomal RNA". It matches the Rfam family "Bacterial small subunit ribosomal RNA", at positions 28 to 507 of the family's 1533-position model. The record is from RNAcentral.
GACGAACGCUGGCGGCGCGCCUAACACAUGCCAGUCGAACGGAGCUGAGAGAAGCUUGCUUUUCUUAGCUUAGUGGCGAACGGGUGAGUAACGCGUGAGUAACCUGCCCUGGAGUGGGGGACAACAGUUGGAAACGACUGCUAAUACCGCAUAAGCCCACGAUCCGGCAUCGGAUUGAGGGAAAAGGAUUUAUUCGCUUCAGGAUGGACUCGCGUCCAAUUAGCUAGUUGGUGAGGUAACGGCCCACCAAGGCGACGAUUGGUAGCCGGACUGAGAGGUUGAACGGCCACAUUGGGACUGAGACACGGCCCAGACUCCUACGGGAGGCAGCAGUGGGGGAUAUUGCACAAUGGGGGAAACCCUGACGCAGCGACGCCGCGUGGAGGAAGAAGGUUUUCGGAUUGUAAACUCCUGUCGUUAGGGACGAUAAUGACGGUACCUAACAAGAAAGCACCGGCUAACUACGUG